AUCCCUUCUCUGGUGGAUCAACCCUGAGGGUUAUUGUGAGCAGAGUCAUGGUGACCUUCAGCCUGCUUCCUCCCAGCUUCCCCAAGGACACCUUGGUGCAGCCCAUGCAAGGACACAUGGGCUUUGGAGUCAGACAAUAGACAGAAGAGGAAAAGACAUCCAGACACAGAGGAGCAGGCCCUGUGAAGACAGAGACAGAUUGAGGUGAUGCAUCUGCAAGCCAGGGAGUGCCCAGGAUUCCUGAGAGCAACCAGAAGCUAGGGGAGAGAUUGAAGAUAAUGACUGCAGGAAAAGAUUAAAUAACUUUAUUUAUUAAGCUGUACUUCAUAUUUGCUAGAACUCUCUCAUCUGGGUAAGAAAAUGUCCAUGGAGAUAAGAACAGCCGUUACACAUCAGAAUGGCACUUGGAUUGAUAAACCAUCCCUUGCUGUUGCACUCUUCAAAUUAGCAAAUGAAAGAGCAUCU
This is a long non-coding RNA of Lagenorhynchus albirostris (white-beaked dolphin), 465 nucleotides long. RefSeq lists it as uncharacterized. The record is from RefSeq and is a predicted model, not a curated record. NCBI's taxonomy places the organism in Eukaryota, Metazoa, Chordata, Mammalia, Artiodactyla, Delphinidae. The transcript has 3 exons.